AACGAACGCUGGCGGCAUGCCUAACACAUGCAAGUCGAACGAGACCUUCGGGUCUAGUGGCGCACGGGUGCGUAACGCGUGGGAACCUGCCCUUAGGUUCGGAAUAACUCCCCGAAAGGGGUGCUAAUACCGGAUAAUGUCUUCGGACCAAAGAAUUAUCGCCUUUGGAUGGGCCUGCGUUGGAUUAGCUAGUUGGUAGGGUAAAAGCCUACCAAGGCGACGAUCCAUAGCUGGUCUGAGAGGAUGAUCAGCCACACUGGGACUGAGACACGGCCCAGACUCCGACGGGAGGCAGCAGUGGGGAAUAUUGGGCAAGGGGCGAAAGCCUGAUCCAGCAAUGCCGCGUGAGUGAUGAAGGCCUUAGGGUUGUAAAGCUCUUUUACCCGGGAUGAUAAUGACAGUACCGGGAGAAUAAGCUCCGGCUAACUCCGUG
RNAcentral lists this ribosomal RNA (433 nucleotides) under uncultured bacterium. RNAcentral's name for it is "partial 16S ribosomal RNA". It matches the Rfam family "Bacterial small subunit ribosomal RNA", at positions 29 to 507 of the family's 1533-position model. The record is from RNAcentral.